CUAAAAUUGCAUAUUGCCUUGUUCAUAAACCCGUUUCUCCCUUUUCAUAUUCGGCGAUUUAGGGUUUGCUUGUCUCUGCAGAAAAAUGGCUGAUUCACCUGUAAAAAGGUAUUCACGCUCUCCUUCUCCUUGGGAAGAAGAAAAGGUAAGAUCUAGGUCAAGGUCGAGAUCCCAGUCUAGGUCAUGGUCGAGGCCAAGAGGAAGAUCCAGGUCCAGAUCAAGGUCGAGAAGUCACGGAAGGGUUGAACCUUCUAAUCCUGGCACCACACUUUACGUAACUGGUUUAUCCACCAGGGUGACACAGAGGGACCUUGAGGAGCAUUUCUCAAAAGAGGGAAAGGUAAAAUCAGCUUUCUUGGUUGUGGAGCCGCGUUCUCGUGUCUCUCGUGGUUUUGCUUUUAUAACAAUGGAUAGUCUUGAGGAUGCCGAUCGCUGCAUUAAGCACCUAAAUCAGUCUGUCCUUGAAGGCCGCUACAUAACAGUGGAGAAGUCACGGAGGAAACGGGCGAGGACUCCAACGCCUGGUCAUUAUCUAGGACUUAAGAACGCAAGGGGUGAUGGUUUACGCGGCGACCGUGGUGACCGUGGUAGGUAUCGUGGCCGUGAAGACUAUGGGCGCCGUGAAGACUAUGGGCGCCGGGAGGACUAUGGGCACAGAAGAUCUCCAAAGCGUUCGCCUUAUCGAGGUGGUCGAGAUUAUUCUCCUAGGCGCUCGCCUUAUGGGGGAAGGUCAAGAAGGGAACGAUCCAGGUCAUAUUCUCCGUAUGAAAGGAACUAUGCCCGUGGUGGUAGAUAGGAUGGAAUCUGGUAGCCCUACUUACGGGGGGAAAACUACUUGUAAGGAUCUUUAUGAGUUUGGUUGAAACUAGAUUUAGGUAUAACGUACCAAUUAAUGAAAGUAUGUGUGCUCGUGCGCCUGAUAUGCUCUUGCCUUAGCUGACUUUUGAAAUUAUACUGCUUAUGUCAAGUACUAUGUGUGUUUUGCUAUGCCAUAUUCUAGGUUUAUGCCA
RNA transcript from Solanum dulcamara, 1010 nucleotides. It is a transcript of the gene named serine/arginine-rich splicing factor SR45a-like, with no coding region annotated. Lineage: Eukaryota; Viridiplantae; Streptophyta; Magnoliopsida; Solanales; Solanaceae. The record is from RefSeq and is a predicted model, not a curated record. The transcript has 7 exons.